CUGAACCCUGAUUUGGUUGCAAUGACCGAUAUCAUUUUCGUUCUUUCUUGGGUUUUAUCAACAUUUCCCUUUUUCUUUUUAGGAAUAAAUAAAGUUCGGUGGCAACUUUGUUUAGUCCAUCAUUGCAAGCGCGCAAUUCUGCUUCGCUAGGUCGUGUUAUCAUUUUUUCCAGGUGCGACAAACACCUAUUGAGCACAUAUUCUAUAGUGGCAACAAAU
RNAcentral lists this long non-coding RNA (218 nucleotides) under Lathyrus oleraceus (garden pea). Its description in RNAcentral is "Pisum sativum (pea) long non-coding RNA (PSAT_LNC017146)". The record is from RNAcentral. Lineage: Eukaryota; Viridiplantae; Streptophyta; Magnoliopsida; Fabales; Fabaceae.